Molecule: long non-coding RNA, 207 nt
Filed under: Manihot esculenta (cassava)
Lineage: Eukaryota; Viridiplantae; Streptophyta; Magnoliopsida; Malpighiales; Euphorbiaceae
Description: long non-coding RNA (MESC_LNC006532)
Source: RNAcentral
UAAAUUUUUAAAUAUCAGGGCAGUGUAUAAAUUCGAGGUCGGCCAAUCUUUUGGAUGGAUAACCCGUUUUAUUUGUAUAGAAGAAUAUGCUACUAAAUUUUUAUGGUUUUUAUCAAAAUUAUGUUUUAUUUUUACUGAAUCUGUUUCUUCCAAAAUACUACAAUAAUAUUCCUGAGGUUUUGAAAGAUUUUUUGGUGUGAAAUACCA